RNAcentral lists this ribosomal RNA (253 nucleotides) under uncultured bacterium. RNAcentral describes it as "partial 16S ribosomal RNA". It matches the Rfam family "Bacterial small subunit ribosomal RNA", at positions 524 to 776 of the family's 1533-position model. The record is from RNAcentral.
UACGUAGGGGGCAAGCGUUGUCCGGAUUUAUUGGGCGUAAAGAGCGUGUAGGCGGCCAAGCAGGUCAGCUGUGAAAACUCGAGGCUCAACCUCGAGACGUCGGUUGAAACCGUUUGGCUAGAGUCCGGAAGAGGAGAGUGGAAUUCCCGGUGUAGCGGUGAAAUGCGUAGAGAUUAGGAAGAACACCAGUGGCGAAGGCGACUUACUGGACUGUAACUGACGCUGAGGCAUGAAAGCGUGGGGAGCAAACAGG